Molecule: ribosomal RNA, 1207 nt
Filed under: Escherichia coli
Lineage: Bacteria; Pseudomonadati; Pseudomonadota; Gammaproteobacteria; Enterobacterales; Enterobacteriaceae
Description: partial 23S ribosomal RNA
Rfam family: Bacterial large subunit ribosomal RNA
Source: RNAcentral
GGUUAAGCGACUAAGCGUACACGGUGGAUGCCCUGGCAGUCAGAGGCGAUGAAGGACGUGCUAAUCUGCGAUAAGCGUCGGUGAGGUGAUAUGAACCGUUAUAACCGGCGAUUUCCGAAUGGGGAAACCCAGUGUGUUUCGACACACUAUCAUUAACUGAAUCCAUAGGUUAAUGAGGCGAACCGGGGGAACUGAAACAUCUAAGUACCCCGAGGAAAAGAAAUCAACCGAGAUUCCCCCAGUAGCGGCGAGCGAACGGGGAGGAGCCCAGAGCCUGAAUCAGUGUGUGUGUUAGUGGAAGCGUCUGGAAAGGCGUGCGAUACAGGGUGACAGCCCCGUACACAAAAAUGCACAUAUUGUGAGCUCGAUGAGUAGGGCGGGACACGUGGUAUCCUGUCUGAAUAUGGGGGGACCAUCCUCCAAGGCUAAAUACUCCUGACUGACCGAUAGUGAACCAGUACCGUGAGGGAAAGGCGAAAAGAACCCCGGCGAGGGGAGUGAAAAAGAACCUGAAACCGUGUACGUACAAGCAGUGGGAGCCUCUUAAUGGGGUGACUGCGUACCUUUUGUAUAAUGGGUCAGCGACUUAUAUUCUGUAGCAAGGUUAACCGAAUAGGGGAGCCGAAGGGAAACCGAGUCUUAACUGGGCGUUAAGUUGCAGGGUAUAGACCCGAAACCCGGUGAUCUAGCCAUGGGCAGGUUGAAGGUUGGGUAACACUAACUGGAGGACCGAACCGACUAAUGUUGAAAAAUUAGCGGAUGACUUGUGGCUGGGGGUGAAAGGCCAAUCAAACCGGGAGAUAGCUGGUUCUCCCCGAAAGCUAUUUAGGUAGCGCCUCGUGAAUUCAUCUCCGGGGGUAGAGCACUGUUUCGGCAAGGGGGUCAUCCCGACUUACCAACCCGAUGCAAACUGCGAAUACCGGAGAAUGUUAUCACGGGAGACACACGGCGGGUGCUAACGUCCGUCGUGAAGAGGGAAACAACCCAGACCGCCAGCUAAGGUCCCAAAGUCAUGGUUAAGUGGGAAACGAUGUGGGAAGGCCCAGACAGCCAGGAUGUUGGCUUAGAAGCAGCCAUCAUUUAAAGAAAGCGUAAUAGCUCACUGGUCGAGUCGGCCUGCGCGGAAGAUGUAACGGGGCUAAACCAUGCACCGAAGCUGCGGCAGCGACACUAUGUGUUGUUGGGUAGGGGAGCGUUCUGUAAGCCU